AUAAUUCGGCUCCAAGAAUUUGGCAAGUAACUUGUAUAACUUUGGGAUAACAAUGGUGUUUAUCGGGCGACUGUAUAGCAAAUACACAGGGUUUAGUUAAAGAUGUUUAUAUUUUAGAGCUGAUAUGUGACCAGUAUUUAUAGGCUCAUAGUUGUUUUGCGAUGCCUCUACAAACGUUGGCCGUAACUAUAACGGUCCCAAGGUAGCAAAUUUCCUUGUCGUUUAAGUAACGACCUGCAUGAAGGAUGGAACGAUUCGAUAGCUGUCUUGCGUACAUGUGCUGGUGAAAUAUUAGGUAGUGUGAAGAUACGGUAACAAUGUUAUGGGACAAAAAGACCCUGUGAAGCUUUAUAGGGAUAGAAUUUAGUACGGGUUCUAUAUUGGUAUAUCUUCAUUUCAAGGAAAAACAGUGAGAUACCAUUCAUUGAGAAUACGAUAAGAUAAUUCCAAUUCAUUGUGUUAUAUAGCGUAUAUAUUCGAUGAGAUUUCAUUUGGCCAAUGAUUUUCUCAUCGAAUAUAUUAGUGUGUUUACAGUGAGUUUACACUGUAAACACAGUGCUAUACCUAUUAUUUUAGGUACCUAUUAUUUUAGGUACCUGGUGAAAAUAGUGUUUGUGUGGGUUAUAUAGGGGUAAAUUAUUUUAUUUCACGUGUUAUUUAGGGCAUUUAUUUUUAGGUACCUAUAAUUAUUAUUAUUUUUCAUCUAAGCUACAGUGGAAUUCCCACUGUAGCUAGAAUAUUUAUUUGCGUGUAUAUAUGCGUGUAUAUAUGGAAUCCUUUAGAGGUGCCUAAUUAUUUUAGGUGCCUAAUUUAUUUACCUUGUUAUAUAGAGUGUUUUCGAAAAGUAAUGUUAGAUGGGCUGUUUCAUUGGGGAGAUGACCUUCUUUAAUCUAACUAAAGGUUCACAAAGCUAUUGAUGUGGGCUUUGAUAAAGGACUAGUAAGUGCAAAGAUAGAUGUGUGGCUUAAUGGUCAAGCGUUUGAUCCAGUAUUUAAAUGGUGUCUUAGUGACCUUUAAAUUAAUUUAUCAGAUAAAAGCUACUCUAGGGAUAACAGGCUUAAUUUAUUGGAUAGCUCACAUUAACAAAAUGGUUUUGCACCUCGAUGUCGGCUUAUCUUUUCCAAAUGGAAAGCAAUCAAUCAGGAGUGGGAGUGCUCAUCCCAUAACAAGGUACGUGAGCUGGGUUCAGAACGAUGUAAAUCAGUUUGGUCUAUAUCUGUA
Molecule: ribosomal RNA, 1221 nt
Filed under: Alexandrium monilatum
Lineage: Eukaryota; Dinophyceae; Gonyaulacales; Pyrocystaceae
Description: partial Archaeal large subunit ribosomal RNA
Rfam family: Bacterial large subunit ribosomal RNA
Source: RNAcentral